Molecule: transfer-messenger RNA, 397 nt
Filed under: Patescibacteria group
Lineage: Bacteria
Also listed under: 1 other name
Description: CG10-46-32 sp016181765 Standard tmRNA
Rfam family: transfer-messenger RNA
About the family: Bacterial tmRNA, also known as 10Sa RNA or SsrA, is named for its dual tRNA and mRNA-like properties. Its role is to liberate the mRNA from a stalled ribosome.
Source: RNAcentral
GGGGGUGUUAAAAGUCGCAAGAUGCGCCCAUUGCCAUUUCGCAAUCCGUCACUGCUUGAUGUGACGCAAAUACCUCAAGCAACCACACAAAUGCAAACAGCAUUGUCAGCAGAGUAACGACUGCGCUCGCGCGAGCGUUCGCAGUUCCGAGCUUUGCGCCAGUUGUAGCCUAACGCUUGCAACCGCCGCCGCUCUAGGCCUGAAUGGAGUGAUCACGGCGCCAUACUUCAGGACGCAGCCGGAGCGCGCCUCAAGCUCCGGUAAAGCCUUAGAGGAUAGUCGCGCGCAUGUUUUGCCCGUUUAGAGUGCGCGCGGCGAAUACGCUAAACAGGCUACGAUUGUAGACGAAUGCAAGAAGCGCAUUUUCACGCGGGAGAAUAGCCCGCCACCUCCACCA